CUGACCGACGCUUGGCAAGGUCGGUCCCGUCGGCCCCACUGGGAGGGUCACCGUUGAGACACCCAGCCCCAUCUCAUUGUUCAGCGCCGGGAGUUUCCUCCUCUGGCAGAGCCCCUGGAGCCGUGAGCUGAGCGGGAAGGGGACGGGCCGGGGCAGGACUUCGGGACGUCUACUUGCUGCCGCUCCUUCCCCUCUCCGGGAGCUCGGGUUUCCCGGGGUGUGUGCGGAUUCUCAAUAAAAAGGGAAAAGCACGAUCCAAGUUAAUUUUCCAGCGCCGAGAGGAAAUGCUGUUUCCUGCAUCGUACAAAACCGGUGCCAACAAGACGGACACAGGAGCCCAUUGUCCCGCUAACAAUGCGGCGAUGGGGGGAGGACGCCUGAGAAAACAGACCUCGGGCCGCCGAGAGCGUUUGAUCUUUCCCCCUAAGCGUGUGAGUGUGCAUGUGCGUGUGUGCGCGUGUGGUGCGAGGAUGCGCUGGCAGCGCGGGGGCGCAGCCCCUUCCCGUCCUGCCUCCGCUCCCCGGGCGCGCUCCUAAAGCUGGCAAGGGAGACCGAGCCCUCCAAAAGCGUCCAGAAGACCAAAAGAGAAAGGGAAGGGCAGGAAAACCAAGGGAAAAGGCUGCAAACGCAAAGAACGGAAAGGCAAAGGCGAGGGAGAGAGACACGCCUCAGCCCAGAGUCCCCCUAGGGGCUGGUUUCACGGCGUCCACCGGCCUCGGUCCUACGGGAGCCGCGCGUCUCCCGCCCCACGCCCGCCCGGGCGCCAGCCCCGCUCCUGCGGUGAGCCCGAGCGGACGGCGGCCCCCCGCGCCGGCGGUGCCCGGCUCCUGGCGGGACUCGGCGGGAGCGCUCUCCGCGCGCCCGCAGGGGGAGGGGGCCGCGGGGCAGCCUCUCCCCCCAGGGUUCCCUGGAGAGCCAGGCCGCUGCGCCGGGCUGACCCGCCGGUGACUCCGCACGGAGAGCGCCCGGGGCGCCCUGACCCCACGCCUGGCCGCGGUGGCGCCGCGCCGUGCGGGACCGGCCGGGUGGGUGGGGGGCGCUGCGCCUGGGGGGUCCCCGCGGGGCCCGGCGUCCGAGCCGGUGGCGCUCGGCGGGGACUUCCGCGGAGCCGGCGGGGGAGGGGGGCGCGGGAGCAGCGCGCGGCUGUCUGGUCAAUUUCACCUGGGCGCCCGGGGUCAGGGCCCUGGCCUGAGGACACGUCGCAGCAGGCUCCAGAGGACGCGGGUUCACCCCAGCGCCCAAGGGGGGACCUCCCCGCCCUCCGCUGGCUCACGUAGUCCGGGGUUUCGGGACGUCAAGUGCUGGCGAGGCGGCCGCUCCGGGCCGCGGCGGGGCUGGGUGAUAAACAAUCUCACAGGAUACACGACACCCUGGACUGUCACAAAUCCCUCGCAGGAAAAGAUAAAUAACAUCUGAGGAGCCGCGGCUCGGCUUCCCCGGGCUGAGCAGAGACCCUGUGAGAAGAGCCAGCGCGACCCAACUCCAGUCAGCCGGUGCCUCAGAGAGGAGUUCUUUCUCAGAACGUAGACACUGAAGCAUACCGCACAGGAUGGUCAUUCAGUGACGAGCAGAAUCGCCAGGACGCCACGUGUUCUCUGUCCCCAUCCCCCUCCCUGAGCAGACAUAGGUUCCCUCGCCUAGGAGCCAGUCACUGCGGGGAACCCAGGGAUCCUCACUCCUUGCAGCGUCCACAGCCUCAUGAGGUUCACGGCUGCGAACCAAACUUUACAUUACGACAAGGUGAAACGCAAAGAGACGCAUCAAAACGCAACCUUGGUUGGGAGUAAGAAACACAGCGGUGGUCUUGACCUUGGAAAACACGGAAGUCUCUGUUCCUAUCCUUUCUACCUUAGCUGGGCACCUUUCACACCAAGACCACAGCAGAUUGCCCCCAAGAGGAGUGAGACAUCUCAUGCUCGAUAUGGUUCAAGUGGGAACUUAAUCUAGGCUCAUGUAUGAUCUCCAACCAGUAGUGAUUUGGCAAGAUCCCAGGAGGAAAAGAAAUUUGUGUUCUAAGUUACAGCUAAUUGUUCCCGUAUUAUUUUGCACUUCCCUAUUACCUGAGCCGUAAGCAUGCUUGAGGCAAGAUACAGCAUGAGUUAAAGUGAGCGUUAAAAAAAAGAAGCAAAUUUGUUCCAUUUGCAAGGAAGGUGAAGGGCAUGGGUUGACAAAGAGAAGGGAGUAUUCAGCUGGCGAGCGACUCUCUAAUUCUAAGAAUGUUACAGAAAACCCUGGUAAUACCACUACCUGCGAGCUUAACCCUUCACUUUGCUUAACCCACAGCCGAUGGAGCCUUGUGGAAAGUCAAAAGGUAAUAAACAAUUUGCCGUUCGAGGCAAACUUAUAAAUUCCCAGGAUAAAGAUCUGAGAAUGUUAAAUCUUUGGGAAAUACACAGGAAGAGUGAGGCAAAAUGCCACCCACCCCCUCCUAAUAGCUUUUAAAUAAGAUUCAGGAAGAGGUUUCAAAGUGAAGUGUUCAAAACAUCUGCUUCUUAUUUGAAAUAUAAUUAGAAGUGUAUCUUAAUAUAUAAGGAAUUUUAAGAGCUGAGAGGAAGAACGUUUCUGGGUGACUAAGUGUUUUGGAUGAUGUCACAGUCAUGGCAUGAAGAGCAAUACCAAAGACUCUUUAGCAAGAUUUUGAGGAAUUGUUUUCCUUAGUUGGUUUAUUAUCUUUGCGAGAAGUCAUUUACAAAUCAAAUCAGAAGAAAGAGAAGGCGACUUUAUCGAACACGAUGAGGGAUCGAGGGAUUCCUGCCCCUGAAUGUUACAAAGAGACACCAAAUGUUCUGUUACUUCUUUCCAUUCCCGGCCCUUCUCCACUCCUAUUUGUUUUUAUUUGGUCCGUUUUCCACCCUGAGAGUCAUAAAGAAAAAGGAACGUGCAUUUGAUUAGAGAACUAAAAAAAGGAAACAAAUGGCCACCGUCUGGCUCCCUGUUGCACAUCACUUACCUGUCUCCCCUUGGCCAAAUUUUUAUGUCCUCACAUCCAGACCUAUUACAUUAGAACCCCUGGGGGGGUCAGACCCAGGCAUGGAGGGGGGGGUUUGUUGUUGUUUUGUUUUGGUUUUUGGUUUUUAAGCUCCCCAGGUGAUGCUAAUAUGCAGCCCAGCCUGAGAACCACUGUCAUGGAUGAUAUGACCUCACGAGGGAGAGACUCCCCCGGGGGUCUCCACGCCAUAAGCAAGUCGUUCCCAGGCUUUUGUAUUCACAGAGCAGCAACAUUUCAAAAAGCACUUGGGAGAGCCAUAUAUCCUUUUUGUCAACAUAGUAAAAACAGCCAUUAUUUCAUGAAAUGAAGGACAUUUUAAUAUCGGGAGAACAGAAGGACGUAAUCAGAGAGUAUUAAAAAUCUGAUUACAUGUACAUAUGCACAUACCUACGUAUACAUACAUAUUUCAUCGUCUUUCUUUUUGCCCUUUGGCGAAGGAAAGUUCUUCUUGGACUGCCUGGCUCUGGGAAUGACUUGGAUCCUAUCCGCAGUGUUCCUUCCAAGAAGCUGACACUAAUCGAGCACUUACUACAUGCCAAGCACUUGUCUCGUUACUUUACAUAUAUGAACUCGCUUCAUUCCCACAACCCUAAAACGUGGGCGGUGCUUAUUAUGUUCAUUUCUCAGGUGAAGAAACAGAUCACAGGGGGUUGAGCAAUUCGCCUCAGGUCACGCAGUGAGUGAUGGAGCCUGAGUUUGAACCCAGGCAAUCUGAUUUCAGAAUCCUGCGUUCCUAACCCGUUCACCGUGCACGUAGUCGGGUGUUCAUGUAUUACAUUAUUCCGCAAGCAGUUCUUAAGCAGCUACUAUGUGCUAGGUGCUGCGAUGAACCCCAGGGGGUGUAAAACCUGGGCCCUUGAUGCCUGGGUGAUAUGGAGACGUAUCUCUCCCACCUCCCAUGUUUCCCAGGAAGAGAAUGAAGGAGGAGUACAUUCAGCUUCUCUCUGUCCCCCUACCCACUAUGAGCAGAUGGCUGGCGCUUUGGAAGAAGCAACCUGGUGGGCCAAGCCUGGUUUUUCUCCUCGGGAGGGGGUCGUUUGUAGUGGUGCCGAUGACCGUGGGGGAAGUCUGGCCAGUUCACCGCCGUCCUGGAAGCCGUACCGGCCACUCAGUUACUGAGGGGCCUGGCCCCAAGCCGCGUAUCCGCCGUAACUGGGCUUAUCAUCACUGGCAACAACCGCCGGGAAUGAGAAAAGACUGGUCUCCCUGUGAAUCUACACUGAAAACACAUGAGUUGGGAAAAGCUGGGCAUCUCUCCCGACAUUCCCACAUCCUCAACAGUUGCCAAAGGCCAAGGGUCUUGUACGUAGCAUACAGGUGCCCACAGAGGUAGGCUAGGGAGCCCAAAGCAGGGGUUCCCAGCACAGACUGUGGGAUAAGGUAUACGAAAUGCAGUUCUGGAGGCCCACAGGCAAUUUAGACCUUGAGGGGUAGGGAGGGGGUGGUAGGAUGCUCCAGGCAGGGGUGAAGGAAAAUGCCGAGGCGGGAAAGGACAUGGCAUGCCGUUUAGGAUGACCCGAGCACAAAGCCUCUGCCGCGGACCCGGUAGGAAGUGAGGACGGAGGGAGAGGCAGGGAUAGAAUUGGGAAAGGCCUUGAAUGCCCGGCCAAGGCCUUUUGGAUUUCAUCCUGAAGGCAAUGAGGAGUGCCCGAAGGAUUUUAAGUGGGGAGUGAGUGGCAUGAUUUUACGUUUUGGCGAGAUUGCUCUAGAACAGUAUGGAGAACUGCGGACGGGAUUGGCUUACCGGGAGGCUAGGACAGUGGCCAGGCGAAAGAUGAUGAGGUCCAGAGCCAAGGGUUUGGCUGUGUGGGCGAAGAGGAGGAGAGAGAUUAAAGGGAUGUCCGUGGAUCACAGCGACUUAUCAGCUUCGGGGAUCAGGGGAAAAGGGGGAGGGCUGAGUUCUGGCUCAAUGACUGGGCCUAUGUCGGUGCUGUUCCCGAUAGGGAUUAUAAGGACAGCGGGAAGGGAUCGUUUUGAGGGGAGCUUUUGUCAUGCUGUGGUUGGCCCCUCCCGUGGUUCACUGAAAGGGACCCCAGUAUCGCAAGCCUGGCACUCUCCUGCAAUUGCCAGCGACACCCAUGAGACCGCAGCAGCCGUCCAGUGGUACGGGCUGGGAUCCGUUUCGUUUCUUUCCCUCGCUCUGGGCACUGGCAGAGCAUCAGCUGAGCGUCCAAGGUGUGGUUCUGGCUCCCUUUCCCCUGGGAAUCACCAAGUGCCUCCUAUUCUCCCUCCCCGCCAGUCACUCCCACCACACUCCCCAGCAACUGGUUCCACCAGUUUUUCUCAGCAUUCUUCUCUUUCCUCCGCUCCUCCAGCCGAAAGCUAUCCCGAUGGAAUCACCUACCCUCCAGGCAAACACGUUCUUCCCCUUCCUCGGGCAAGACACCCCAUCCUAGCCAAGAAGCCACUACCCCGUUAUCUUAACUCACGCUCCCAGCUGGUCUGUCUGUUUUGUGCGGAGCCCAUCUGGGGUCAGCUCUGCCUGGGGCUGGUGGAUUUAGCUUAAAUAUUCCAGCGCAUCUGUUUUUUUCUGAGGUCUGCCCUGACAGAAGGCACACUCUGGUCUUUUAGCAGGAAUUUAAGGUGAUUGGGACCAUCUUGGGGUCAGCAGAAGAAGGGCUUGGGGCCACCCCGCCACGGAGCUAGAGCAACUCCAAGAAUCUCCUCAGUGCCCCCUGCUCGGACUCUAGUAUUUACCAAGAAGGACUCUUCAGGGGGCGCCUGGGUAGCUCUGUGGCUUAAGUAUCUGACUCUUGGUAUCAGCUCAGGUCAUAAUCUUACAGUUCGUGGGAUUGAGCCCCGCGUCGGGCUCUACGCUGACAACACGG
Molecule: long non-coding RNA, 5817 nt
Organism: Felis catus (domestic cat)
Lineage: Eukaryota; Metazoa; Chordata; Mammalia; Carnivora; Felidae
Exons: 4
Source: RefSeq, a predicted model, not a curated record